GACGAACGAGGGGGGAGGGGGGAAAAAAGGAAAGUCGAACUGUAAGGCCCUGCUUUUGUGGGGUGCUCGAGUGGCGAACGGGUGAGUAACACGUGAGUAACCUGCCCUUGACUUUGGGAUAACUUCAGGAAACUGGGGCUAAUACCGGAUAGGAGCUCCUGCUGCAUGGUGGGGGUUGGAAAGUUUCGGCGGUUGGGGAUGGACUCGCGGCUUAUCAGCUUGUUGGUGGGGUAGUGGCUUACCAAGGCUUUGAGGGGGCGCCGGCCUGAGAGGGUGACCGGCCACAUUGGGACUGAGAUACGGCCCAGACUCCUACGGGAGGGUGCAGUGGGGAAUAUUGCACAAUGGGCGGAAGCCUGAUGCAGCAACGCCGCGUGCGGGGUUCCUUCCUGCGUGUUGUAAACCGCUUUCGCCUGUGACUAAGCGUGAGUGACGGUAAUGGGUAACGAAGCACCUGCUCCCUACGUC
This 468-nucleotide ribosomal RNA is filed under the name uncultured bacterium. RNAcentral's name for it is "partial 16S ribosomal RNA". It matches the Rfam family "Bacterial small subunit ribosomal RNA", at positions 28 to 507 of the family's 1533-position model. The record is from RNAcentral.